This is a long non-coding RNA of Girardinichthys multiradiatus, 3147 nucleotides long. RefSeq lists it as uncharacterized. NCBI's taxonomy places the organism in Eukaryota, Metazoa, Chordata, Actinopteri, Cyprinodontiformes, Goodeidae. The record is from RefSeq and is a predicted model, not a curated record. The transcript has 5 exons.
UUACCAGCACUACCUGUUAUUCUGUUGGGUUUCCCAGAGGAGUGCCAAACCAAAAAAAAGUUUAGGUUGUUCAUUCUGUACAAUAAAUGUUUUUUCUUGUUAAUUUAUUUUUAGGCAGUUGUACAGAAAACUUGAUUCAAAUGCAUAUUGUGCGAUAUGACGUUUGUUUUUUCUUCAACUUGUAUAAACUUGUUGGACCAUCGUCUGCUACUACACCUCCCAGCAUGUGUGGCCAUUCCCAGAAGAGCUUGAAAGCUGGAUAUCUGUCUGAUACAAGAAGGUCAGAAAAUUCAUGAAACGAUCGAAGACUCUGCCGACACACCGGCGCAGUGGUUGUCAUAGAAACUGUUCCUGGACAUGGCCAGAAGCCACAAUGCAAGACAAGUUUUGCUCUUAGUAUGUUGGGAACAUACCAGUAACUUAAAAAAGAUGGGCUCCUAAACAAGCAGAAAAUUCAUUUUGAAAUUACUGGUGCAAUAUGCUAAAUGGAGUAAUAUUCAAAAUGAAGGAAGCUGAUAUGCACUUGUACACUGUGAGCACGGACCUGAAGCUGUCUCCUUCAGACCAAUGUCCUGUCAGUUUGGCUCCAGGCAAUGUAACAUCCAGCCAAUCGGCCGCUGCUGAGCAGAGCUGGAAUUUCACCUGGAGCGGAGCAGUCUCUGAAGAGGAUGGCAUUGACUAUACAGGAAGAAUACGUUUUUGUUUGUGGAAAAUUAUAAACAUAUCUUUCCUGCAGUGUCGGAUGUUUUUCAGAAAUCCUUCAUGCAUUUAGAAACCUUUUUUGUUGCAUGGUAAACACUGGUUUCAUGAACAGUGAAAGAAUAAUAUGGCACUUAAUUGUGUCUGUUUUCUAUUAUUGUCCCUAAUUUCAUGUUACUAAAAGAUACAUAAACAUAAACUAUGAAGAUGUGCACACAAGUAUUUAAUGCUAUAGCCAGUUUUCCCAGCAUUUUCUUUAACAUAGAGCACCUCAAACCUAGUUGGCCCCUUUAAGCUCGCAGGAGAUCUUCAGGGCACCUUCAUACUGUAUUAAUGUAAGGACAGUCAAACAGUGUUCAACUGGGAGUUGGGAAAAUGUCACCAGGCACUUUUUGUGAUUGUGUUCCAUCUAAAUAUAGAGUCCUGCAGUCUGUUCUACAUUUUGAACCAUUUCAUGUUGCUGUGCUGCUCUCUAUUUUUACAUCAGUAUCAAUAGAGAAGGCGAUGUGCUGUUUCAAAAUAGAGUAAUAUUAUCUGCAGAUGGGGAGAAGGUUUCAAGCAUGGCACAUGUAAAGCAAUGAGGUCCAGUUUUGUAUUGGGUAAAUAAAGCGAAUGUACAUGUUUUCCCUAUGCAACCAUGCAAGACAUAAAUAACGUGCUCUUCCCUUGACUUUAGUCAAAAUUAUGUUUCAAUCGAGCUUGUUUCAAAGAAAAAGCACAAGUUCUCAUAACUGCAAGAACCUAUCUCACAAUAUCCUUUUGUCCAAUAGCCAAGGUGGCGUCAUGGGAAAGUACAAACAUUACUAUAAAAACCAGCAAAGCCAGUUUUACUGCGUUCACACAAAGGGUCAAGGAAAAAGAAUUGCAGGCAGCCAGCUUGGUAAAAAAAUACACACAAAAAAGUUUAAAGUUACAAGCAGUGUGAGGUGGAAACAAUGCCAGGACCCAAGAUGCAGCCUGGGGGGCUUCAUGACGACCUUCCAGAGGAAGCUUCAUUUUUGCAAAUCUACCCCUAUUUCUGUAGUGAAAUACCAUCUGUAAACACAAUGAACAGAAUAAAAACAAAUAUAAAAAAAAAACAAUAAAACAUGACAUCAACAAGAACAAUCCAGAGCUAGUCUGCAUUGGCUUUUAAAUUGUCUCCAUUAUGUCUCCUAAAAAGUACAGUGUUGCAGGAAAAACAAAGAUGCUUGCAAAACAAAACAAGGGCAAACAUAUCAGAACAAUACAUGGAGUUAGCUAAAGAGCUUAUCAGAAGAUUUGCUUCUUCCUGUGUAUUUGAUAAGAAGUCUAAGAAAAUACAUUAUGCAACCUUAACCAGCGGUCACAUGCUUUGGAUUUCUUAGUUACUAUUUAGUCUAAACAGUUGUUGAUGGAAAAACAUCUAACCGUGCUACCCUGCAAAAAGACCCCAACAUGUUGUUUUUUUAGCUACAGUCAAAACCCGGUGUUUACAUUCACUGAAUAAAAAGACACAAAACCCUUUUCACCGUGUGACAUUAAAUCAGACAAAUAAAAUCCCUUUUAGGUCAGUUAGGACAUCCAAAAUUAUUUAUUUAAAGUCAGAAGUUUGCAUAAAUGUCCCUAAUAUUUGGAGCUGCUGCCUUUAACAUGUAUGAUGGGUCAAAGGCUUUGGAUUUCCCCUCCACAAGUUUCUCACAAUGGUUUUGCUUGGACCAUUCUUCCUAUCAGAACUGGUGUCACUGAGUCAGGUUUGUAGCUGCCCUUUCUCAAACAAAUCUUUUCAGCGCUACCUACAACGACACUGAGAUCAGGGCAUUGUGAUGGUCACUCCAAAACAUUGAUGUUGUUGGACUUAAGCCACUUUUGCACUAAUUUAGUGGUCUACUUAGGUCAAUGUCCAUCUGGAUGAUCCAUUUAUGACCAAGCUUUAACUCCCAGGUCGAUAUCUUUAAAUGUUGCUUUAACAUUUCCACAUGAUGUUCUUUUCUCAAGAUUUUAUCUAUUUUUUUAAGUGCAUUAGUCUCUCAUGCAUCAAAACAACUGCACAUGAUGCUGUCACCCCUGUACUUUACAGUUGUGUUAUGACUCUGGUCCGUCUGCCCGCUCUGCCCUGCUCUGUCAUCAUGCAAUCAUCUCAUCUGCUUCACCUGUUUGCUGCUGCGCUGGGGCGCAAUCACAGUCAUGCCACGCACCUGUUUCACUGCUGUUAUAUACAGCCCUCAGACUGGCAGACAGUGCCAGAUUUUCGAAAACAUUUCCCUGGAUCUCGACCCUGUUUCUGUCCACGGAUUUACGCCCCUGCCAAGCCCCUGGUUUAUUCAAACCAGAGGACAAUCUCAGCUCUCUGUGUUCCAGCCACAGCUUCAGCUGAUUCCCCUGAGGUUCUGGAUCACAUCUUCUUCUGGGUUCCGCUCCCCUUUCCCAGACUGAGAAGCGAUUUGUGGAAGCUGACUGCUGGUCUCCUGUUCUGAUUCCUGUUUUGCU